Molecule: ribosomal RNA, 484 nt
Filed under: uncultured bacterium
Lineage: Bacteria
Description: partial 16S ribosomal RNA
Rfam family: Bacterial small subunit ribosomal RNA
Source: RNAcentral
AGUGAGCGCUGGCGGCGUGCUUAACACAUGCAAGUCGAACGAGAACGGAUUAUAGCUUGCUAUAAUUGUCAGCUAAGUGGCGCACGGGUGAGUAAUGUAUAGGUAAUAUGCCUCUUACUAAGGGAUAACAAAUGGAAACGUUUGCUAAUACCUUAUACUCCUUAUUAACAGAAGUUAAUAAGGGAAAGAUUUAUUGGUAAGAGAUUAGCCUGUAUUGUAUCAGUUAGUUGGUGGGGUAAUGGCUUACCAAGACUAUGACACAUAACUGGUUUGAGAGGAUGAUCAGUCACACUGGAACUGAGACACGGUCCAGACUCCUACGGGAGGCAGCAGUGGGGAAUAUUGCACAAUGGACGAAAGUCUGAUGCAGCAACGCCGCGUGGAGGAUGACACAUUUCGGUGCGUAAACUCCUUUUAUAUGAGAAGGUAAUGACGGUAUUAUAUGAAUAAGCACCGGCUAACUCCGUGCCAGCAGCCGCCGCUG